Molecule: unclassified non-coding RNA, 421 nt
Filed under: uncultured Laccaria
Lineage: Eukaryota; Fungi; Basidiomycota; Agaricomycetes; Agaricales; Tricholomataceae
Description: sequence contains ITS2
Rfam family: 5.8S ribosomal RNA (bases 1-154)
Source: RNAcentral
AACUUUCGGCAAUGGAUCACUUGGCUCUUGCAUCGAUGAAGAACGCAGCGAAAUGCGUUAAGUAAUGUGAAUUGCAGAAUUCAGUGAAUCAUCGAAUCUUUGAACGCACCUUGCGCUCCUUGGUAUUCCGAGGAGCAUGCCUGUUUGAGUGUCAUUAAAUUCUCAACCUUUCCAUUAAUUUGGUUUGGCUUGGAUGUGGGGGUUGCAGGCUUCAUUUGACUAUGAGGUCAGCUCUCCUUAAAUGCAUUAGUGGAACUUUUGUGGACCGUCUAUUGGUGUGAUAAUUAUCUACGCCGUGGAUGAGAAACAGCUUUAUCAAGUUCAGCUUCUAACCGUCCAUUGACUUGGACAAUUUUGACAAUUUGACCUCAAAUCAGGUAGGACUACCCGCUGAACUUAAGCAUAUCAAUAAGCGGAGGCU